Molecule: unclassified non-coding RNA, 383 nt
Filed under: Hevea brasiliensis (rubber tree)
Lineage: Eukaryota; Viridiplantae; Streptophyta; Magnoliopsida; Malpighiales; Euphorbiaceae
Source: RNAcentral
GGAAUUUCUCCGGAAAGCAUGUUUUCUGAGACAUCUAGUUUAUUUAUAUUUGUCAGCUUUCCCACGUCUUCAGGUAGGCUGCCGGUUAGUGAAUUAUGUGAUAAGUUUAAGUACAGAGAUAAUGAAGGAAGACUGAGAACCUCCUUGGGUAUGGAUCCAUUGAGCUUAUUUCUUGACAUAUCCAAAUACUGCAAAAAUUUGCAAUUUCCUAUACUUCCAGGAAUAAUUCCAUCCAAAUUGUUUCGUGAAAUGGAAAGCUUAGAUAACUGGGUGAUAUUGCCUAUGGAGGAUGCAAUCUGACCUGACAAUCUAUUUUCUCCCAAAUCCAAUAGUUGAAGUUUACUUAAUUUUCCUAGGGAAGAGGGGAAAAGACCAGUGAAAAG